GAUGAACGCUGGCGGCGUGCCUAAUACAUGCAAGUCGAGCGAACAGACGAGGAGCUUGCUCCUCUGACGUUAGCGGCGGACGGGUGAGUAACACGUGGAUAACCUACCUAUAAGACUGGGAUAACUUCGGGAAACCGGAGCUAAUACCGGAUAAUAUAUUGGACCGCAUGGUUCAAUAGUGAAAGACGGUUUUGCUGUCACUUAUAGAUGGAUCCGCGCCGCAUUAGCUAGUUGGUAAGGUAACGGCUUACCAAGGCAACGAUGCGUAGCCGACCUGAGAGGGUGAUCGGCCACACUGGAGCUGAGACACGGUCCAGACUCCUACGGGAGGCAGCAGUAGGGAAUCUUCCGCAAUGGGCGAAAGCCUGACGGAGCAACGCCGCGGGAGUGAUGAAGGUCUUCGGAUCGUAAAACUCUGUUAUUAGGGAAGAACAAAUGUGUAAGUAACUAUGCACGUCUUGACGGUACCUAAUCAGAAAGCCACGGCUAACUACGUG
This 497-nucleotide ribosomal RNA is filed under the name uncultured bacterium. RNAcentral describes it as "partial 16S ribosomal RNA". It matches the Rfam family "Bacterial small subunit ribosomal RNA", at positions 28 to 507 of the family's 1533-position model. The record is from RNAcentral.